Molecule: long non-coding RNA, 1279 nt
Organism: Oncorhynchus tshawytscha (Chinook salmon)
Lineage: Eukaryota; Metazoa; Chordata; Actinopteri; Salmoniformes; Salmonidae
Source: Ensembl
CAGCAUUGGGAUAGUAGUGGUGGUGGGGGUAGUAGUAGUAGUAGUAGUGGUGGGGGUAGUAGUAGUAGUAGUAGUGGUGGUGAUGGUGGCAGCAUUGGGGUAGUAGUGGUGGCGGGGGUAGUAGUAGUAGUAGUAGUGGUGGUGGGGGUAGUAGUAGUAGUAGUAGUGGUGGUGAUGGGGGUAGUAGUAGCAGUAGUAGUGGUGGUGAUGGGGGUAGUAGUAGCAGUAGUAGUGGUGGUGAUGGGGCGGCGGUGGCAGCGUUGGGGUAGUAGUGGUGGUGGGGGUAGUAGUAGUAGUAGUAGUGGUGGUGGGGGUAGUAGUAGUAGUAGUGGUGGUGAUGGGGGUAGUAGGAGCAGUAGUAGUGGUGGUGGGGGUAGUAAUAGUAGCAGUAGUAGUGGUGGUGGGGGUAGUAGUAGCAGUAGUAGUGGUGGUGGGGGUAGUAGUAGUAGUAGUAGUGGUGGUGGGGGUAGUAGUGGUAGUAGUAGUGGUGGUGAUGGGGGUAGUAGUAGCAGUAGUAGUGGUGGUGGGGGUAGUAGUAGCAGUAGUAGUGGUGGUGGGGGUAGUAGUAGUAGUAGUAGUGGUGAUGGGGGUAGUAGUAGUAGUAGUAGUGGUGGGGGUAGUAGUAGUAGUAGUGGUGGUGGGGGUAGUAGUAGUAGUAGUAGUGGUGGUGGGGGUAGUAGUAGUAGUAGUGGUGGUGAUGGGGGUAGUAGUAGUAGUAGUAGUGGUGUAGUGGUGGGGGGUAGUAGUAGUAGUAGUAGUGGUGGUGGGGGUAGUAGUAGUAGUAGUAGUGGUGGUGGGGGUAGUAGUAGUAGUAGUAGUAGUGGUGGGGGUAGUAGUAGUAGUAGUGGUGGUGGGGGUAGUAGUAGUAGUAGUAGUAGUGGUGGGGGUAGUAGUAGUAGUAGUAGUGGUGGUGGGGUAGUAGUAGUAGUAGUAGUAGUGGUGGUGGUGGGGGUAGUAGUAGCAGUAGUAGUGGUGGUGGGGGUAGUAGUAGCAGUAGUAGUGGUGGUGGGGGUAGUAGUAGCAGUAGUAGUGGUGGUGAUGGGGGUAGUAGUAGUAGUAGUAGUGGUGGUGGGGGUAGUAGUAGCAGUAGUAGUGGUGGUGGGGGUAGUAGCAGUAGUAGUGGUGGUGGUGGGGGUAGUAGUAGCAGUAGUAGUGGUGGUGGGGUAGUAGUAGUAGUAGUAGUGGUGGUGGGGGUAGUAGUAGCAGUAGUAGUGGUGGUGAUGGGGGUAGUAGUAGUAAUAGUAGUGGUGGUGAUGGGGGCGGCGGUGGCAGCGUUGGG